This 253-nucleotide ribosomal RNA is filed under the name uncultured bacterium. RNAcentral's name for it is "partial 16S ribosomal RNA". It matches the Rfam family "Bacterial small subunit ribosomal RNA", at positions 524 to 776 of the family's 1533-position model. The record is from RNAcentral.
UACGGAGGAGGGAAGCGUUAUCCGGGAUUAUGGGGCGUAAAACGUCCGUAGGUGGUUGACCAAGUCUGCUGUCAAAGGGUGGGGCUUAACCUCAUAAAGGCAGUGGAAAAUGGUGAGCUAGAGUGCGGUAGGUGUAAGGGGAAUUCCCAGUGUAGCGGUGAAAUGCGUAGAGAUUAGGAAGAACAUCGGUGGCGAAAGCGACUUGCGAGGCCUGCACUGACACUGAGUAACCAAAGCUAGGGGAGCGAAUGGG